Molecule: long non-coding RNA, 1766 nt
Filed under: Elaeis guineensis (African oil palm)
Lineage: Eukaryota; Viridiplantae; Streptophyta; Magnoliopsida; Arecales; Arecaceae
Description: long non-coding RNA (EGUI_LNC019068)
Source: RNAcentral
AUAUAUAUAUUUUUAAAAAAAUUUAAAUUUAAAUUUUUAAAAUUUUAAUAUAAAAAAAUAGAAUUUUUUUUUAUUUUUAAAAUUUAAAUCUCUUAUGAGUCAUCAGUUGGAGGCAUUAGUACAUAUAUUUUUAUUCUAUUUUGGAUAAUGAUGGCCGACAGAUAAUAUUAUCUGCUCUACUAUUGAAAGAUUUAGGGAUGUGUGAGAAGAUGAUCUAAGGAUAUCGGCAACAUGAUCGACUCCACUAUUAAGAGAGUUGAGAAUGUGCGAGGAGAUGAUCAAAAAAGAAAACGAAGGAGAGACUUAAAAGUUUAAAAAUAGUUAGAGAUAAAUAGUAAAAAAUGAUAGAUUUAUGGAGUUUUAAGCUAGUGUUCUAUGCGAAAGUCUUUGUGUACUGCAUGCAAUGCAAUAAAUUUGAUGUCAAAUGCACCAUCCAAUUAUUUUAAAGCAUGUAGCGUACUUAAUGAUAGGAUAUACAUUUAAUAUUGUCCAGCUUUUUCUUUUUUUAAUAUUCAGUGACGAAAAUAUCUUUUCCUCAGAGAAGAAAUAGUAUUAUUACUUUCUAAUACCUUAUAUGACUUUCUAUGAAUAUAUAUGAUGCCCCCAACUAUAUAUAUGACUUUCUGUAUAUUUAUGACAUCCUGAAUAAUAUAUAUAGCUUCUUAAUGCUUUAUAUGACUUUCUGUAAGUAUAUAUAAUAUCCCAAACAAUAUAUAUGACUUCCUAUAAGUAUAUAUGACUUCUUAAUAUUUUAUAUGACUUCCUGUGAGUAUAUAUAAUAUCCCGAACAAUAUAUAUGACUUCUUGUGAAUAUAUAUGACUUCUAGAACAACAUAUAUGGCUUUCUAAUAUCUUAUAUGACUUUCUGUGAAUAUAUAUGACAUCUCGAAUAAUAUAUGUGACUUCCUAUGAAUAUAUAUGACGUCUCGAAUAAUAUAUAUGACUUUCUAAUAUCAUAUAAAGUGUUAGGAAGUCAUAUAUAUUAUUCAAUAUAUUAUAUAUAUUCACAGAAAGUCAUAUAUAUUGUUCGAAAUGUUAUAUAUAUUCAAAGAAAAUUAUAUAAAGCGUUAGAAAAUAAUAUAUAUUAUUUAGGAUAUCAUAUAUAUACUCACAGAAAGCUAUACAAAGUAUCAGAAAGUAAUAUAUAUUAUUCAAGAUAUCAUAAAUAUACAAAAAGUCAUAUAUAUAGUUCAGUACGUUAUAUAUAUUUAUACAAAGUGUAUUAGGAAGUAAUAAUACUAUUCUUUCUUUGUUAUGUAGAAAAAAAAUAUUUUCAUCAUCAAAAAUAAAAAAAAUCAUUAGGUGCACAAAAUAUUACUCGUGUUCUACAAUAACUGGCGAGUGGACUUUUAAGGUGUUUCGGGCUGCACGCUCGGCCCAGUUUGAACUCCAGAACGAAGUCCACGGCCCGCAAGGUAGAGGAAGCGCGCGGUUUCACUGACGCGGUCAAGAAACAACUGCGAAGGACCACCGUCCAAUGAUGGCGGACGGUCCGUUCCAAGGCCCUCUCACGACGGCCUCACUCCGUAAACGCGUAACGCGUUGCGUGGCCCACCGCAUCGCGAUCUUGAGGUCGACUUGAUCGCCACGAACCCUCAUGCCCCACCUCGUGAUUCGUGCACAUCGUGCUGAUUUAUUUACUUCCACGAUGGAAAAGCGUAGAUAUUAAUAUUAAACAAGGAGAAAAAACUGAAGUAGAAAUUCGAGAAUUUAACACAGGAUCGAGAUGAGUUUUUUUUUCUUUUAACUGUAUAUAUAAAAUAAAN